GGAGAUGUAGCUCAGUGGUAGAGCACUUGCCUGGCGUGUAUUAGUCCUAGGGCUCCAUUUCCA
RNAcentral lists this transfer RNA (63 nucleotides) under Dipodomys ordii (Ord's kangaroo rat). It matches the Rfam family "tRNA". From Rfam's summary of the family: Transfer RNA (tRNA) molecules are approximately 80 nucleotides in length. Their secondary structure includes four short double-helical elements and three loops (D, anti-codon, and T loops). The record is from Rfam by way of RNAcentral. Lineage: Eukaryota; Metazoa; Chordata; Mammalia; Rodentia; Heteromyidae.